GUGUCAGCAGCCGCGGUAAGACGAACCGUCCUAACGUUGUUCGGAAUCACUGGGCUUAAAGGGCGCGUAGGCGGGCGAUCAAGUCAGGGGUGAAAUCUUUCGGCUUAACCGGAAAAUGGCCCCUGAUACUGAUUGUCUUGAGGGAGGUAGGGGCCAUGGGAACUUCUGGUGGAGCGGUGAAAUGCGUUGAUAUCAGAAGGAACGCCGGUGGCGAAAGCGCAUGGCUGGACCUCUUCUGACGCUGAGGCGCGAAAGCUAGGGUAGCGAACGGGAUUAGAUACCCCGGUAGUCCUAGCCCUAAACGAUGGGUACUAGGUUGUAGACUUCCAUGGGUUUACAGCCGAAGCAAAAGUGGUAAGUACCCCGCCUGGGGAGUAUGGUCGCAAGGCUGAA
Molecule: ribosomal RNA, 393 nt
Filed under: uncultured bacterium
Lineage: Bacteria
Description: bacterial SSU rRNA
Rfam family: Bacterial small subunit ribosomal RNA
Source: RNAcentral